RNAcentral lists this ribosomal RNA (391 nucleotides) under Pycnoporus heteroporus. RNAcentral's name for it is "eukaryotic LSU rRNA". The stretch from base 2 to 145 matches the Rfam family "5.8S ribosomal RNA". Lineage: Eukaryota; Metazoa; Platyhelminthes; Trematoda; Plagiorchiida; Lecithodendriidae. The record is from RNAcentral.
UCGGUGGAUCACUCGGCUCGUGUGUCGAUGAAGAGCGCAGCUAACUGUGUGAAUUAAUGUGAACUGCAUACUGCCUUGAACAUCGACAUCUUGAACGCAUAUUGCGGCCAUGGGUUAGCUCAUGGCCACGCCUGUCCGAGGGUCGGCUUAUAAACUAUCACGACGCCCUUAAAGUCGUGGCUUGGGUCUUGCCAACUGGCGUGAUUUCCUCGAUCGCAUGAGGUUGAGGUGCCAGGUCUAUGGCUUUUCCCUAAUGUGUCCGGACAUCCAUGUGCAUGUGAUGGCGGAGUCGUGGCUAAGUGGUGAUCUAUUCUAUAUGGCGCGCUCCGUUCACUGUCAUGGUCUCUGUCUGUCACUUGUGUGUGUUGCGCGAUUGCGCUUCCAUACCUGA